This 354-nucleotide ribosomal RNA is filed under the name uncultured bacterium. Its description in RNAcentral is "partial 16S ribosomal RNA". It matches the Rfam family "Bacterial small subunit ribosomal RNA", at positions 338 to 689 of the family's 1533-position model. The record is from RNAcentral.
GCUACGGGUGGCAGCAGUGAGGAAUAUUGGUCAAUGGGCGAGAGCCUGAACCAGCCAAGUCGCGUGAAGGAUGAAGGAUCUAUGGUUUGUAAACUUCUUUUAUAGGGGAAUAAAGUGAGGAACGUGUUCCUUUUUGUAUGUACCAUAUGAAUAAGCAUCGGCUAACUCCGUGCCAGCAGCCGCUGUAAUACGGAGGAUGCGAGCGUUAUCCGGAUUUAGUGGGUUUAAAGGGUGCGUAGGUGGUUAAUUUAGUCAGCGGUGAAAGUUUGUGGCUCAACCAUAAAAUUGACGUUGAAACGUGUUGACUUUAGUAUAUUUGAGGUAGUCGGACUGCGUGGUGUAGCGGUGCAAUGC